This 429-nucleotide ribosomal RNA is filed under the name Bacteroidota bacterium. RNAcentral describes it as "Bacteroidetes bacterium partial 16S ribosomal RNA". It matches the Rfam family "Bacterial small subunit ribosomal RNA", at positions 355 to 776 of the family's 1533-position model. The record is from RNAcentral. Lineage: Bacteria; Pseudomonadati; Bacteroidota.
UAGGGAAUCUUCCGCAAUGGACGCAAGCCUGACGGAGCAACGCCGCGUGAGUGAAGAAGGAUUUCGGUUCGUAAAACUCUGUUGUUAGAGAAGAACAGCGCAUAGAGUAACUGUUAUGCGUGUGACGGUAUCUAACCAGAAAGCCCCGGCUAACUACGUGCCAGCAGCCGCGGUAAUACGUAGGUGGCAAGCGUUGUCCGGAUUUAUUGGGCGUAAAGCGAGCGCAGGCGGUCAAUUAAGUCUGAUGUGAAAGCCCCCGGCUCAACCGGGGAGGGGCAUUGGAGACUGGAUGGCUUGAGUGCAGAAGAGGGGAGUGGAAUUCCAUGUGUAGCGGUGAAAUGCGUAGAUAUAUGGAGGAACACCGGUGGCGAAGGCGACUCUCUGGUCUGUAACUGACGCUGAGGCUCGAAAGCGUGGGGAGCAAACAGG